CAUUUCUCCGGUGGAAAUCACUUAAUCUUCACAAUUCGAAGUUUUUGGAUGGCGAAAGAUAAGGGGCUAAUGCAAUGACAAUUUAGUGACAAAUUUGAAAUAUGCGCUGGAGCUACUCAAUGACCAGAAUCCAACAGAAUGUGAAUCCAUCCAUAAGUAAAAUCAAACCUGAUACCAAACCAGGUUAUUUUAUUGGGUUUGAGCAUUGUUCUUGCCAGC
Molecule: long non-coding RNA, 219 nt
Filed under: Elaeis guineensis (African oil palm)
Lineage: Eukaryota; Viridiplantae; Streptophyta; Magnoliopsida; Arecales; Arecaceae
Description: long non-coding RNA (EGUI_LNC006712)
Source: RNAcentral